GGAUGAACGCUGGCGGCGUGCCUAAUACAUGCAAGUCGAGCGAACGGACGAGAAGCUUGCUUCUCUGAUGUUAGCGGCGGACGGGUGAGUAACACGUGGAUAACCUACCUAUAAGACUGGGACAACUUCGGGAAACCGGUGCUAAUACCGGAUAACAUUUUGAACCGCAUGGUUCAAAAGUGAAAGACGGUCUUGCUGUCACUCAUAGAUGGAUCCGCGUUGCAUUAGCUAGUUGGUAAGGUAACGGCUUACCAAGGCAACGAUGCAUAGCCGACCUGAGGGAGUGAUCGGCCACAUGGGAACUGAGACACGGUCCAGACUCCUACGGGAGGCAGCAGUAGGGAAUCUUCCGCAAUGGGCGAAAGCCUGGCGGAGCGACGCCGCGUGAGUGAUAAAGGUCUUCGGAUCGUAAAACUCUGUUAUUAGGGAAGAACAGAUGUGUAAGUAGCUGUGCAGAUCUUGACGGUACCUAAUCAGAAAGCCACGGCUAACUACGUG
This 498-nucleotide ribosomal RNA is filed under the name uncultured bacterium. RNAcentral's name for it is "partial 16S ribosomal RNA". It matches the Rfam family "Bacterial small subunit ribosomal RNA", at positions 27 to 507 of the family's 1533-position model. The record is from RNAcentral.